Molecule: ribosomal RNA, 1539 nt
Filed under: uncultured bacterium
Lineage: Bacteria
Description: partial 16S ribosomal RNA
Rfam family: Bacterial small subunit ribosomal RNA
Source: RNAcentral
AGAGUUUGAUCAUGGCUCAGAUUGAACGCUGGCGGCAUGCCUAACACAUGCAAGUCGAACGGAAACGACGAAAACAAUCCCUUCGGGGUGCGUCUUCGGGCGUCGAGUGGCGGACGGGUGCGUAACGCGUAGGAAUCUACCUUAUAGUGGGGGACAACUCGGGGAAACUCGAGCUAAUACCGCAUAAUCCUUACGAGGGAAAGCAGGGGAUCUUCGGACCUUGCGCUAUUAGAUGAGCCUGCGUCGGAUUAGCUAGUUGGUAGGGUAAUGGCCUACCAAGGCAACGAUCCGUAGCUGGUCUGAGAGGAUGAUCAGCCACACUGGGACUGAGACACGGCCCAGACUCCUACGGGAGGCAGCAGUGGGGAAUAUUGGACAAUGGGCGCAAGCCUGAUCCAGCAAUGCCGCGUGUGUGAAGAAGGCCUUAGGGUUGUAAAGCACUUUCAGGAGGGAAGAAAAGCACAAGAUUAAUAAUCUUGUGUCUUGACGGUACCUUCAGAAGAAGCACCGGCUAACUCCGUGCCAGCAGCCGCGGUAAUACGGAGGGUGCAAGCGUUAAUCGGAAUUACUGGGCGUAAAGCGCGCGUAGGCGGCUAUAUAAGUUGGGUGUGAAAUCCCCGGGCUCAACCUGGGAACUGCAUUCAAAACUGUAUAGCUUGAGUUUGGUAGAGGGGAGUGGAAUUCCACAUGUAGCGGUGAAAUGCGUAGAUAUGUGGAGGAACACCAGUGGCGAAGGCGACUCCCUGGCCCAAAACUGACGCUGAGGUGCGAAAGCGUGCUUCCUAGACCAUUUCUGACGUUAAGACGGGAAAGUUUGGGUAGCAAACGGGAUUAGAGACCCCGGUAGUCCUAGCUGUAAAGGAUGUAGAUUGGGCGUGGGGAGAGUUAAAUCCGUCAGUGCGGUAGCUACCGCGAUAAGUCUACCGCCUGGGGACUACGAUCGCAAGAUUAAAUCUCAAAGGAAUUGACGGGGCCCCGCACAAGCAGGGGAGCGUGUGGUUUAAUUCGAUGUUACACGAAGACCCUUACCAGGGUUUGACAUGUAAGUGGUAGUGAUCCGAAAGGUGAACGACCCCUGGGGGAGCUUACACAGGUGCUGCAGGGCUGUCGUCAGCUCGUGUCGUGAGAUGUUCGGUUAAGUCCGCUAAAGAGCGCAACCCUCACUGUGUGUUACAAGUGUCACAGGGGACUGCGGUUUUUAACCCGGAGGAAGGCGAGGAUGACGUCAAGUCAGCAUGGCCUUUAUGUCGUGGGCUACACACACGCUCCAAUGGUCGGUACAAUAGGUUGCCAAGCCGCAAGGGGGAGCCAAUCCCAAAAGCGGGCCUCAUUUCAGAUUCCGGGCUGCAACUCGCCUGCAUGAAGCUGGAGUUGCUAGUAACCCCAGUUCAGCUAUACUGCGGGGAAUACGUUCCCGGGUCUUGUACACACCCCCGGUCACGUCAUGGAAGCUGGAAACACCUGAAGCCGGUAUCCUACCCCCAAGAAAGAACCUGUCGAGGGUGGGGUAGGUGACUGGGACGAAGUCGUACCAAGGUA